UACGGAGGAUGCGAGCGUUAUCCGGAUUUACUGGGUGUAAAGGGAGCGUAGACGGCGGGGCAAGUCUGGAGUGAAAGGCCGGGGCCCAACCCCGGGACCGCUCUGGAAACUGCCCGGCUGGAGUGCCGGAGGGGCAAGCGGAAUUCCUAGUGUAGCGGUGAAAUGCGUAGAUAUUAGGAGGAACACCGGUGGCGAAGGCGGCUUGCUGGACGGUAACUGACGUUGAGGCUCGAAAGCGUGGGGAGCAAAAAGG
This 253-nucleotide ribosomal RNA is filed under the name uncultured Eubacteriales bacterium. RNAcentral's name for it is "uncultured Clostridiales bacterium partial 16S ribosomal RNA". It matches the Rfam family "Bacterial small subunit ribosomal RNA", at positions 524 to 776 of the family's 1533-position model. The record is from RNAcentral. Lineage: Bacteria; Bacillati; Bacillota; Clostridia; Eubacteriales.